CUGCACACUCUUACCCAGCCGAGCCUUCACAUUGUUGAUGGUGUCCUGAAGGAGAGGAGACACACAGGUCAGACUUUCAGCUGGCAGGUCAGGUCUCUCCGGGGAAGUUUGGAGGAUGAAAACAAAGCAGCUAAAUAAGGAAGUGCCCUGGAACUAGUCUGAGUGGAGGAGGAGGUGACUCUGGAGGUGAGAAGCCUGGAUACCUUGUGCUCCAUGGUCCACGCUGCGGCAGAAACACUCCUUCCGACCGGCGGGGAGAGUGAAUGUGAAGUCGCUGUCCAUGGACUGGGAGAAGGCGGCCAGCGCCACAAACCUGUCCGAGACCAGAGCGACAAACACGGACAGCACACACAGAAACCCCG
This is a long non-coding RNA of Seriola aureovittata, 362 nucleotides long. RefSeq lists it as uncharacterized. The transcript has 3 exons. The record is from RefSeq and is a predicted model, not a curated record. Lineage: Eukaryota; Metazoa; Chordata; Actinopteri; Carangiformes; Carangidae.